AACGUAGGGGGCGUAGCGUUGUCCGGAAUUACUGGGGGUAAAGCGCACGCAGGCGGUCUGGAAAGCGGUGGGUGCAAUCUCGAGGCUCAACCUCGAAACUGCUCGCCGAACUACCAGACUUGAGCACGGGAGAGGACAGUGGAAUUCCCGGUGUAGCGGUGGAAUGCGUAAAUAUCGGGAGGAACACCAGUGGCGAAGGCUGCUGUCUGGAACGUUGCUGACGCUGAGGAGCGAAAGCCAGGGGAGCGAACCGGAUUAGAUACCCGGGUAGGUCCCUGA
This 279-nucleotide ribosomal RNA is filed under the name uncultured prokaryote. RNAcentral's name for it is "partial 16S ribosomal RNA". It matches the Rfam family "Bacterial small subunit ribosomal RNA", at positions 524 to 799 of the family's 1533-position model. The record is from RNAcentral.